This 73-nucleotide transfer RNA is filed under the name Canis lupus familiaris (dog). It matches the Rfam family "tRNA". From Rfam's summary of the family: Transfer RNA (tRNA) molecules are approximately 80 nucleotides in length. Their secondary structure includes four short double-helical elements and three loops (D, anti-codon, and T loops). RNAcentral also lists the same sequence under 1 other name. The record is from Rfam by way of RNAcentral. Lineage: Eukaryota; Metazoa; Chordata; Mammalia; Carnivora; Canidae.
AACUGGCUGGCUCAGUCGGUAGAGCAUGGGACUCUUGAUCUUGGGGUUGUGAGCUCAAGCCCCAUGUUAGGUG